Molecule: non-coding RNA, 21 nt
Filed under: Arabidopsis thaliana (thale cress)
Lineage: Eukaryota; Viridiplantae; Streptophyta; Magnoliopsida; Brassicales; Brassicaceae
Source: RNAcentral
CGGCGGCGGAGGGUGUUGCCG